UGCAGCGACGCCGCGUGAGGGAUGAAGGCCUUCGGGUUGUAAACCUCUUUCAGUAGGGAAGAAGCUGGUCCUUCGGGGUUGGUGACGGUACCUGCAGAAGAAGCGCCGGCUAACUACGUGCCAGCAGCCGCGGUAAUACGUAGGGCGCAAGCGUUAUCCGGAAUUAUUGGGCGUAAAGAGCUCGUAGGCGGUUUGUCGCGUCUGCCGUGAAAGUCCGGGGCUUAACCCCGGAUCUGCGGUGGGUACGGGCAGACUAGAGUGCAGUAGGGGAGACUGGAAUUCCUGGUGUAGCGGUGAAAUGCGCAGAUAUCAGGAGGAACACCGAUGGCGAAGGCAGGUCUCUGGGCUGUAACUGACGCUGAGGAGCGAAAGCAUGGGGAGCGAACAGGAUUAGAUACCCUGGUAGUCCAUGCCGUAAACGUUGGGCACUAGGUGUGGGGGACAUUCCACGUUUUCCGCGCCGUAGCUAACGCAUUAAGUGCCCCGCCUGGGGAGUACGGCCGCAAGGCUAAAACUCAAAG
Molecule: ribosomal RNA, 521 nt
Filed under: Arthrobacter sp. MN04-02
Lineage: Bacteria; Bacillati; Actinomycetota; Actinomycetes; Micrococcales; Micrococcaceae
Description: bacterial SSU rRNA
Rfam family: Bacterial small subunit ribosomal RNA
Source: RNAcentral